CUACGUGUUGCUGCAGUGGGGAAUAUUGGACAAUGGGGGAAACCCUGAUCCAGCAAUGCCGCGUGUGUGAAGAAGGCCUGCGGGUUGUAAAGCACUUUCGGUUGGGAGGACUGCUUCUAGCACUAAUAUUGUUGGAAGUUGACGUUACCUUCAGAAGAAGCACCGGCUAACUCCGUGCCAGCAGCCGCGGUAAUACGGAGGGUGCAAGCGUUAAUCGGAAUUACUGGGCGUAAAGCGCGCGUAGGCGGCUAGAUCAGUCGGGUGUGAAAGCCCCGGGCGUAACCUGGGAACUGCAUCCGAUACUGUCUAGCUUGAGUACAGGAGAGGAGAGUGGAAUUCCACAUGUAGCGGUGAAAUGCGUAGAUAUGUGGAGGAACACCAAUGGCGAAGGCAGCUCUCUGGCCUGAUACUGACGCUGAGGUGCGAAAGCGUGGGGAGCAAACAGUAUUAGAUACCCCGGUAGUC
Molecule: ribosomal RNA, 465 nt
Filed under: uncultured bacterium
Lineage: Bacteria
Description: partial 16S ribosomal RNA
Rfam family: Bacterial small subunit ribosomal RNA
Source: RNAcentral